RNAcentral lists this ribosomal RNA (2745 nucleotides) under Triticum aestivum (bread wheat). RNAcentral's name for it is "partial small subunit ribosomal RNA". Lineage: Eukaryota; Viridiplantae; Streptophyta; Magnoliopsida; Poales; Poaceae. The record is from RNAcentral.
AUGGCAGAUGCUGCUCUCCUUCUGGUCACAAAAAAAAUUGGAAAAGCGGUGGCAGCAGAAACACUUAGCUAUGCUAGACCAUUGCUUGAAAAGAAAUCUAGAUCUAUUAAAGCAGUGCCAGAUAAGAUGAUACUCAUAAAGAAUGAUCUUGAGCUUAUCCGAGCAUAUCUCAAGGAAGUUGACAGGAAAGGUUGCACGGAUCUAGUCACUGAAACAUGGAUAGGGCAAGCCCGAAAAUUGGCUUAUGAUAUGGAAGACAUUGUGGAUCAGUUUACUUAUGUGGUUGGUAAACACCAUCUAGAUGGAGCAUGGUGGAGUUUUUUCACUAAAUGUCAGGACCCAUUUACACUUGAUGAAAUCGCUGCUGCAGUUAGGAGAAUAAAUAGGGAACUGAAACGGCUUAAAGAAUGCAGAGACUGGACUCAACCAGUUGCUGGAGGGAGUGAUGUUCCUGCAAAAGAUUAUGCCACCCAACAACAAAUGUAUCUUCCUGGACAUGGUUACUCAAUUUCUGAUGAAGAACUUAUAGGACUUGAUAGAAAUAGAGAAAUCUUGGUGAGGUUAAUGAAUUUGAAUAAAUGUUCUCAUCUGCAGAUCAUUGCUGUGUGUGGUAUGGGUGGAAUUGGGAAAAGCACUCUUGUCAACAAUGUGUUCAGAAAGGAAGCAUCCAAAUUUGAAUGCCAUGCAUGGGUUUCUGUCUCUCAGUCAUACAAUAUAUAUGAUAUUUGGAGAAGCAUGCUAAAAGAAAUAUAUUCUAAAGAGAAGAAAGAAUUUGAUGCUGAAAACAUGACCGGUGCAGAGUUGCAAAUGGAAUUGAAGAAAAUCCUAGAGACAAAGAGAUACUUGAUAAUAUUGGAUGAUGUCUGGACAGCUGAAGUUUUUAGAGAACUUAAAGAGGUUCUUGUUGAUACAGGGAUGGGAAGCAGAGUAGUAAUCACAACAAGAAUUGAGGAAGUAGCUUCAGUAGCUGAUGAUAGCUACAAGAUCAAAGUUGAGCCUCUUGAGGAGGAGGAGGCAUGGCGUUUGUUUCGCCGGAAGGCAUUUCCAAGAACUGAAAAUCACAUUUGCCCAUUAGUGUUAGAAGAGUGUGGUAAAUCGAUAGUGGAGAAGUGUGAUGGUUUACCAUUAGCUCUUGUGGCCAUAGGGAGCACAUUGUCUCAUAAGGCGCAAGAUGUUGCAGAGUGGAGGCGAUUUUAUAAUCAGCUUAUCUGGGAGCUACACAACAAUGGCGACCUGAAUCGUGUGGUGAAAAUUCUGAAUCUAAGCUACAAAUACUUGCCAGACCAUCUGAAGAGUUGUUUCUUGUAUUGUGCCAUGUUCCCAGAAGACCACAUGAUUCAUAGAAAAAGAUUGAUUAGAUUGUGGGUCGCCGAAGGAUUUAUUGAACAAAUUGGAGCAUGCAGUUUAGAAGAUGUUGCUGAAGGUUUCCUGACAGAGCUCGUUCGACGAAGCAUGCUUCAUGUGGUAGAGAGGAACAGUUUUAACAGGAUCAAGUGUGUUCGAAUGCACGAUCUUGUGCGUGAAUUAGCCAUUUUCCAAUCCAGGAGAGAGAGUUUCGGUACGACUUAUGAUGAUAGUCAUGGGGUGAUGCAGGUGGAGUCGGAUUCUCGUCGCAUGUCAGUGCUCCAAUGCAAAAAUGACAUUCAACCAAGCACAGGUCAAUGCAGGCUUCGUACCUUCAUAGCAUUCAGCAGUAACAUGGCAUCGUCUUCAUUGUUUCCAUCAGAAUCUAAGUACCUUGCUGUGUUGGAGCUAGCAGGAUUACCUAUUGAGACAAUUCCAAAUUCAGCUGGGGACUUAUUCAACCUUAGGUAUUUGGGCCUUGACAAAACCAAUGUGAAGGUACUCCCAAAUUCUGUUGUGAAGCUUCACAACUUAGAAACAUUGAGUCUUCAAGAUACAGAAUGUCUGCAUCUCCCUCGAGGGUCUGAAAAGCUGAAGAAAUUGCGGCACAUUUGGAUGUAUAAAUUGCUAGAUAGUACAUUCUCUAUUUUCAGAAGUAUUGGACCUAUGGAACCUUUUGAGGGAUUGUGGAGUUUGAAGAACUUGCAAACUCUGAAGCCAGUUUGUGCUAGUGAAGUUUCCGUCACAAAACUAGCAAAUUUAUCUCAGUUAAGGACCCUUAGCAUUAUUGGGGUAAGGAGCAUCCACUGUGCACAACUCUGUGCAUCGUUAUCAAUGAUGCACCAGCUCUCACUAUUAGAAAUAAAAGCCAGCAAUGAAGAUGAUGUGCUCCAGCUUGAAACAUUAACAUUGUCAAACCGCCUUAAAAAGCUCUUUUUAUCAGGGCGCUUUUCCGAAGGAACAUUGGAAUCUCCAUUUUUCUCAACCAACGGAGAUGCCCUUCACAAGAUAUCUCUACGUUGGUCCCAGCUUGCGGUGAACCCAUUACAGCGCCUCUCUGAAUUUUCAAAUUUGACCGAAAUAUGUCUUGCAAGGGCGUAUACUGGACAGGAGCUAACUUUUGAUGCAGAGGGGUUCCCAAAUGUGAAGAUUAUUCAGUUGUAUGAUAUGCCAGAUGUGAACCAAAUAUGCAUACACGAGGGAGCUUUGGUUCGCCUUGAAGAACUUUUGAUCAGAAACCUUGCCGAACUGCGGGACAUCCCUGGGCUGGGACAUCUGAAAUCCCUCAAAGAGGCAUGGUUUUAUGAUAUGCAUCCUUGUUUCAUAAGUAAUCUUGAAGCGGCCAGACUAGAUCAUAUCCCGAUAACCUUCUACAGGACAAUACGCUCUGGAGUGGCAUGA